Takifugu rubripes (torafugu) is the source of this 96-nucleotide microRNA precursor. Ensembl annotates it as microRNA let-7d. Its record names the gene mirlet7d. The record is from Ensembl. Lineage: Eukaryota; Metazoa; Chordata; Actinopteri; Tetraodontiformes; Tetraodontidae.
UGUGCUCUGCAGUGUGAGGUAGUUGGUUGUAUGGUUUCGCAUAAUAAACAGCACGGAGAUAACUGUACAACCUUCUAGCUUUCCCUGCGGAGUCAC